Molecule: ribosomal RNA, 1437 nt
Filed under: uncultured Ralstonia sp.
Lineage: Bacteria; Pseudomonadati; Pseudomonadota; Betaproteobacteria; Burkholderiales; Burkholderiaceae
Description: bacterial SSU rRNA
Rfam family: Bacterial small subunit ribosomal RNA
Source: RNAcentral
ACAUGCAAGUCGAACGGCAGCAUGAUCUAGCUUGCUAGAUUGAUGGCGAGUGGCGAACGGGUGAGUAAUACAUCGGAACGUGCCCUGUAGCGGGGGAUAACUAGUCGAAAGAUUAGCUAAUACCGCAUACGACCUGAGGGUGAAAGUGGGGGACCGCAAGGCCUCAUGCUAUAGGAGCGGCCGAUGUCUGAUUAGCUAGUUGGUGAGGUAAAGGCUCACCAAGGCGACGAUCAGUAGCUGGUCUGAGAGGACGAUCGGCCACACUGGGACUGAGACACGGCCCAGACUCCUACGGGAGGCAGCAGUGGGGAAUUUUGGACAAUGGGGGCAACCCUGAUCCAGCAAUGCCGCGUGUGUGAAGAAGGCCUUCGGGUUGUAAAGCACUUUUGUCCGGAAAGAAAUCGCACUUACUAAUAUUAGGUGUGGAUGACGGUACCGGAAGAAUAAGGACCGGCUAACUACGUGCCAGCAGCCGCGGUAAUACGUAGGGUCCAAGCGUUAAUCGGAAUUACUGGGCGUAAAGCGUGCGCAGGCGGUUGUGCAAGACCGAUGUGAAAUCCCCGGGCUUAACCUGGGAAUUGCAUUGGUGACUGCACGGCUAGAGUGUGUCAGAGGGGGGUAGAAUUCCACGUGUAGCAGUGAAAUGCGUAGAGAUGUGGAGGAAUACCGAUGGCGAAAGCAGCCCCCUGGGAUAACACUGACGCUCAUGCACGAAAGCGUGGGGAGCAAACAGGAUUAGAUNNCCUUGGUAGUCCACGCCUUAGGCGAUUUCAACUAGUUGUGGGGAUUCAUUUCAUUAGUAAACGUAGCUAACGCGUGAAGUUGACCGCCUGGGGAGUACGGUCGCAAGAUUAAAACUCAAAAGGAAUUGACGGGGACCCGCACAAGCGGUGGAUGAUGUGGAUUAAUUCGAUGCAACGCGAAAAACCUUACCUACCCUUGACAUGCCACUAACGAAGCAGAGAUGCAUUAGGUGCUCGAAAGAGAAAGUGGACACAGGUGCUGCAUGGCUGUCGUCAGCUCGUGUCGUGAGAUGUUGGGUUAAGUCCCGCAACGAGCGCAACCCUUGUCUCUAGUUGCUACGAAAGGGCACUCUAGAGAGACUGCCGGUGACAAACCGGAGGAAGGUGGGGAUGACGUCAAGUCCUCAUGGCCCUUAUGGGUAGGGCUUCACACGUCAUACAAUGGUGCAUACAGAGGGUUGCCAAGCCGCGAGGUGGAGCUAAUCCCAGAAAAUGCAUCGUAGUCCGGAUCGUAGUCUGCAACUCGACUACGUGAAGCUGGAAUCGCUAGUAAUCGCGGAUCAGCAUGCCGCGGUGAAUACGUUCCCGGGUCCUGUACACACCGCCCGUCACACCAUGGGAGUGGGUUUUGCCAGAAGUAGUUAGCCUAACCGCAAGGGGGGCGAUUACCACGGCAGGGUUCAUGACUGGGGUG